AUAGAAUUGGGAUCUGUUUCAGAUAUCUCUGCUUUGGAAAUCCAUGUGACGACCUGGCGUAAAAUUUGGUUUAGGGCCAGAAAAUAUGAUGAGUAUUUAAUCUUGAGAAUAAUGUUAAAGGUAAGCAUAUAAAUGGAUUUUCUGAUAGCUAUGUCUUUGAAUAAAUGAUUAUUAGUUAAAUCUAUGGAUGUGAUAAAUUCUAGCCCAGAGUGGGCAAUUUGUCCAAUGUUUGCAUUGUUAGAUGAUGUGUUAACGAUAAUUUGGUUAAAUAGUUCUAGAGAUGAAAUGAAGAAUAUAUUAGGAAUUUUCUCAAAGCAUUCGUGAUUUUCAGAGUGCGUAAUUAGUUCCAUGAUAUAUUUAACUAGACGGGAUGACCAAAUUAGUGAAUAUUUAUCAAAUAGAUUAAUUAUAGUUUUUUUAUUAGGGCGAAUAGUUGAUUGAGUAUUACUUUGUGUAUUUGCCAUGUUUUGGCAUGCAGAUGUCAGAGAAUUUAGUAUGAGGAUCCUGAAAUCCAUUGGAAUCCCGUUGUUCAUAUUGCAUGAAUAGUUAAUCAUUUCCACUGAAACUUUAUCUGUCUUAUACUGAAUUAGUUUUGAAAAAAUUAUGAGUACAAGUAUCUUUUGAUCUUUUUCUUUUAAUGAAAUUAACUUAUCAAUAAGAGGAAGAAUUAGGUGGUCAUAAUUAGAAUCAUCCUUUUCGAUAUUUUCAG
This 709-nucleotide non-coding RNA is filed under the name Cryptosporidium parvum. The record is from RNAcentral. Lineage: Eukaryota; Apicomplexa; Conoidasida; Eucoccidiorida; Cryptosporidiidae.